AUAGACUCAGCAACACUGAGGCAACCAAUGUUUUAUUAUGUUGCCUGGUGAACUAACCCUAGAGCAAAUGAUGCAGGAGGAUGAAUAUGUUUUGAAGGCCUUUGAGAACAAUGAUCAUUCUUCAAAUAUAUUCUAACUGCAGAAACAUGCCUAAAAAAUAAAUAUUUUGUUUACAUGGAGAGAAUACAUAGUGUUCAUUAUUGUUUGGAAAAGUUUCUUUGCUUGCUUUAUACAUGAGCCAAAAAAGCUACCUCUGUAUUUGCACCUGCCUAAAUAUUUCAUAAACUGUUCUGCUGUAAUCUUGAUGGUUUCCAAGCUCAGGUUGAUGCUUAGAGUUUCACUGAUGUUCAAGAACAUGCAUGUGGCUUUUAUGUCACAGCUGUCUCCACAUGUAGGAGAUGAAGCAAGACUCUGUCCAUACAUUAGAUACUGCGCCCGCCACUUAAAUUUCAGUGUGCCACUGCAGUGGAGUCUCUUAGCGCAGAGAUGCAAAUAAUAUCCCUUCAAGAUGUUUCAUAGCUGAGCUCCAAUCACACAAAGCAACGUAUCCUUUUCACUACUGCUAUUGUGUUUUCUUUUUCAGUAUCCAUUGUGAUCUUUUUCAUAAGUCAACAUAUUUUUUCUCUCUCCCUGAACAAUACAGAAUAGUAAGAGAAUUAUAGUUUCCGAGGGUAAAAAGAAUGCUAGACUUGGCUAUGUGUGUCUUAGUUUUAGAGCUUUGUUGGAUGCAUGUAGAAUAUGUGUUUUUUGUUUAAGUGUUCUUAGUUUGAAAGAGUGAGAUGGAUUGUAUUUUUCUCCGUUACUGUCUUUUUGGUGCAUCUUCACAUAGAAAUGUGUUUGUCUCUUGGGAAGUUGGCAGUGUAAGUGACUGGAAAAACUAGCUAAUAAAUCUGGGAUUAAUAGGGCUGUAGACAGCGAAGUACAUAGGUGUAGGAAGGAUCACCAGCCACUGAAUGCUGCACAUCUAGAAACUGUCAAUAGAGAGUAUGAAAAAUGUAAAGGACAAAGCAAAACUAGGAGAAGUUCCAGCUCGUUUUUCUGCUUGCUGAAGCAAUCUCUCACUUCAGCAUAUCCUGGUCCCCUAGGGAAGAGUUGUUCUUAGGGCUUGAUCUUGCUUCUACUCGCAGCCAAAGUAAGUCUCCUUUAGGUUAAAAGUGGAUAGGAUCACAUCAUUAAUGAUCAUCUCUCCAAAAAUAGAACCAGCAAAAGUAACAGUGCUUCAUGUUAUACUAUACUCUGCUAUACUCUGUAUACAAAGUAGCUCUCUAUUCUUGUGUAAAAAUUUGUUCAAAUUUAGAGGUAUUUAGAGAUGUGUAUUAAAUCUUUAAAGCUGAUUUUUCCAGUUCUCUUAAUUAGUGGACCAAAUGAUGGAUACAAUUGCUGUGCACUUGUGGUAUUGAGGACAAUUUCUAUUUGAGGAGGGAAAAAUGUGAAGAAAUUUUCUGUGUGCUGAAUUAAAUCCCUUGAAGUCGAUUGUGGCCAGGAAUGUAAGUAAAUUAGCAUGGUGCUCUUGAAUUCAGUGGAGCCACACUGAUGGCUGUUACCUGUGAUUGAUUAUCAUUGAAUAAUGCAAUGAAAUUCCUUGUUUAUUAACACAAGGAUAAAACGAGAAAGGGAGAAAAGCUGCUACCUUUCUACCACAACUGGCCAAAGAAAUGAGAACUGCUAAAGAUUUACACCUUUGAUGUGCUCUUCUUUUACCUAAAACUGCCAUAAAUAGCAACAAACCUAUGAACUUCAUAGGACCAUGGGUCUGUACACAGAAUUCUUUCUGGUUGGAAGGGCAAUGUUAAGGGAGGUACUCAUGGUGUAAAGCAAGCACAGCAUCUUGUUUCCUAUUGCAUAAAUAAUCGUACUGAUUAUAGACUGAAUGAAGUAUAUGAUUAAGUUCCAGACUGGCGAUGCUAGGGUUGGACAGAAAAUCUUGACUUGUAACAUCAUCUGAAAUAAUGCUGUUAAGAUUUGCUCUUAACCAGAGUUGAGGUUCACUGAUGGACAUUGUAUUGCCAUCUAGUAGAAGGUUUCCACUGUAAACAAUGUAUGAGGCAGAGUCAGAGCGUUAGUGUAUUUCUCCAGCAAUGGGUGGAAAGAGAUUACCAUAACAGAGGUGGUUAUGCUUCUUUGCACCCUAGGGAUUCAAAUUCUGUGUCAGGAUUAAGAUUUGUUUAUGUCAGUCUAAUUUGGCACUUGAGUUUUGCUUUCUCACAGCCACACUCGUCACUGACUUUGCAUAACAAGCAAUAAAUGUGCUGAUCAUUGUUUAUGCUGAAAAGUAUGGCAUACAUCUUCACAAACACACACUCACAAAAAAAGACCUACCUUUGAUUUAGUGAGAUGUGAAGCUUACUGCUCUGGCCUCAUUGGUAUUCUGCAGUGGUUCUUUAUUUAGUUUUUCUACCUGAAUGAUGAGAGUUCUCACAACAUGGAUGUUGGGUAUGCAAAAAGUGCAACUUCUGAUAUUUUCCAACAUUAGCAUUAAAAAGUUUAUACUCUAUGGAGAAAGUACUGAUGGCAGACCUUGCUGUUGUUGUCUUUUUAACCUUAAGCUCUUUCAGUGAACAUCAAGUAUGGAUCCCUGUGUGAGGAGGGAGACCGUAUUACUAAGCCUUGCAAUCUGCUCCUUAGCUUUCCAGAACAGAGAAGUUGCAUUUACACUAAGUCCUGAAUUUACAAAGGCUAUUUAUUUCCAAUUUUGCACUAACAUAGAAUUUAUUUAUUUAUUUAAAAAGCAUGCUCCCUCAUUUCACUUUCACCUUCUGCAGUGAAGUCUUGCUUCUUGUGGCUGUGACCCCAGAAUCAGUUGCCAGAGAAAUAAAUGUGAUGACACAGAUUAAAUCCUUCAGCACUGAAUCGAGUGCAAGGAACAAAGGAGAAGAUAAGUGCCUUUCUAAAAUAGAAACAUUUAUUAGAAAAAUCCAUUUGUUUUUGUCAGCUCUGUUUGAACAGAUUGUUCCAGUAUCAAAAUCUCCACUUAAUUGAAACAUAUAUAUAUACAUAUACAUACAUAUAUAUACAUAUAUACAUAUAUAUAUACAUACAUAUAUAUAUAAGUUUUGCAGUGAUAUAUAUAUAUAUAUAUGUUUGGCAGUGAUCUCGUGCUCCUGGUUCUUGCCUAGUUUCUGCUUAAAUAAGCUGAGAGGCUUCUGCUACUUUCGAUGGACUUUGUUUAAAACCUCUGUUGAAAACUCUUAACAUCUGGCAAUGCUAAACUGAAAAAGCAGUAUUGAAAGUAAGAGUUUGUCACGUAGAACCCAGAUCAAUGUGCUGGGCUCUGUGCUUUGCAUUUAAGAAAGGCUGAGAGAAAAGAAAAGGGAGAGAGUCUUUUCCUAGAAGAACCUAGAACAAGAUCUUAAACCAUGAGUGCUGGGGUAUCGGAAUUCCUUAUUACCCAAAUAUGUGGAAAUCUCGCCUUCAUCAGAAGUUCCUACACAAUUUUGGCACAAAUAUAACAAUUAUAUCUGCAAAUGAGAAAAAUGUGUUCUGUAAUAAGACUUGCCUGGACUGCAAAUUAAAAUGUUUAAAGAACACCAUUCUUUAAUUUUAGGCUCACCUUUAGUGGAAUGUGAUUUAGUAGAUUCCUUGUCUACUCCUUGCUCAGCCUUUGCUGCCUAAACAUAGGAUGUGCUGCUCAGGUCCAUGUGCUCAGGUCCACUGUCAGGGAGAAGCUGGCAGCUCUGAGGGGAGCAGGGUGAAGCCAAAUACUGAACUGCAUGCUGGAGGCUGCUGUUGACUACAAAAGGAGUUGAAGUGACCAGCUGAGAUCAGCUUCUAAAUGGGUAAACCCAGUAUUAAAGGCAGAAAUCAAAGCACAGGACCCAUGGGAAGCGACGUUUCAAAUGUACACCAUUGCUUUUCUUCGUCAUUGUUCUGAACUGUGCACCCUCUGCUCCUGACAGUGCACCCACAACAAGAUAAGGAGCAAAUGGAAAAUUGACUGAGAUGAGAGAAGCCAGCAAGUUAAGGUCCAAAUUGAAACAUUUGAGUACAUAAGUGUCUUCUGUGGGAAGAGGAGCAACAGCUGCCCACCAAAUUGGAAGAAGAUAUAAUGAAUGCAUCUUCUCUGAAUCACAAGAAAAAGACUAUUUCAACUUAAGAGAACAUUUUAAUCUCAGUCAAAAUGGGGCAUCUUCACCAUAAGGUUGUCUGCAGUCAUGCCACCUCAUGGUGUCCGGAAGAUGCCAUGCACUGGUGCCACUGCAUCCUGCUGCCACGAGCUGUGUGCUUGCAGCAGCGUCACCUGAAGAGAUGAUUCCAAUGUCGAACACCUGAGCACGGCCCCUCUGUCCUCAACACUGUGCCCUGCCCUCCGGCUCCUGCCUUGGGAUUUGCUCCAAGAUGUUAUGUAACAGAAGUCACUGGGAGGUAAAAGGUACAUAGCCUGCAUUUCUUUUCUUUUUAAAAUGUGAUUGUAAAAGAUGGCAGCU
Molecule: long non-coding RNA, 4424 nt
Organism: Gallus gallus (chicken)
Lineage: Eukaryota; Metazoa; Chordata; Aves; Galliformes; Phasianidae
Exons: 6
Source: RefSeq, a predicted model, not a curated record